This 158-nucleotide ribosomal RNA is filed under the name Aquiflexum gelatinilyticum. RNAcentral's name for it is "partial 16S ribosomal RNA". It matches the Rfam family "Bacterial small subunit ribosomal RNA", at positions 1367 to 1533 of the family's 1533-position model. Lineage: Bacteria; Pseudomonadati; Bacteroidota; Cytophagia; Cytophagales; Cyclobacteriaceae. The record is from RNAcentral.
UACGUUCCCGGACCUUGUACACACCGCCCGUCAAGCCAUGGAAGUCGGGUAGACCUGAAGGCGGUAACCGCAAGGAGCCGUUAAGGGUAGAACCGGUAACUGGGGCUAAGUCGUAACAAGGUAGCCGUACCGGAAGGUGCGGCUGGAACACCUCCUUU